AUGGGAUCAAGUCCUUGUUCACAACAUAACAAUGCAGUGAGAGAUGGCCAUGCUUUAUUGGAUCAGUCAAACCAUUUGGCAAAUAUCUUUGAGGUGAAGACCAUCGGGGAUAAAGAAAAGGAUCGUUUAAGGCUGAGAACUACGAUUGCGGUUGUAAAGUGGCUCACAUUUCAGUCUUGUGCUUUAAGAGGCCAUGAUGAGAGGCCGGAAUCAAGAAACAGAGGUAACUUUCUUGAGAUGUUGAAGCUUCUUGCAGACUUCUGCCCUGAUGUUCAAGCUGUAGUUCUUGGGAAUGCUCCACAAGUUUGCAAAUACACAUCACACGAAAUUCAAAAUGAGAUCUUGAGCAUUUAUGCUAUGAAAGUCAGGGAGCAUAUUCGAGCAGAAAUUGGGGACUCAAAGUACUCUAUUCUUGUGGAUGAGACAUGUGAUGUGUCCAAAAGAGAGCAAAUGGCACUAGUUUUCGGAUUUGUUGAUAAAGAUGGUUAUUCACAAGAAAGAUUCUUUCAUCUCAUACAUGUAGCCAACACAAAAGCACUGACACUAAAGAUGGAGUUGUGUAAAGUAUUAUCCAAGCAUGGAUUUGAUGUACAAAAUCUUCGAGGCCAGGGGUAUGAUGGGGCAAGCAACAUGAGGGGAGAGUUGAAUGGAUUGCAAGCUCUAUUCAUUAAAGAUUGCCCCUAUGCAUAUUAUGUUCAUUGCUAUGCUCAUCGGUUGCAACUCUCCCUUGUUGGUGCAGCAAGAGAUGUGGUUCCAGUCACCCAAUUUUUUCAGAAACUUCACUUUGUUAUAAACACAGUUGACUCCUCUUCAAAGCGACAUGAUGAGUUGCAUGACGCCCAGGUGGUUGAGAUUGCACGCUUGCUUGCUAUCGAUCAAAUUGAAACAGGCAAAGGAGCCAAUCAAAUACGCUCAUUGAAGCGACCAGGAGAGACUAGAUGGGGUUCCCACUUAGGUUCGAUUUCUAGUCUUAUGCAUAUGUUCAAUCCAGUGAGAGUUGUUCUAGAAAAUCUAGCCGCAGAUUCAUCAGCUGGAGCAAACCGGGCUGAUGGUGAUACUUCUUUCACUUAG
Molecule: ribosomal RNA, 1071 nt
Filed under: Triticum aestivum (bread wheat)
Lineage: Eukaryota; Viridiplantae; Streptophyta; Magnoliopsida; Poales; Poaceae
Description: partial small subunit ribosomal RNA
Source: RNAcentral